Gopherus flavomarginatus (Mexican gopher tortoise) is the source of this 7268-nucleotide long non-coding RNA. RefSeq lists it as uncharacterized. Lineage: Eukaryota; Metazoa; Chordata; Testudines; Testudinidae. The record is from RefSeq and is a predicted model, not a curated record. The transcript has 3 exons.
CUGAGUUGCUCAUCCUUGCCUUUGCCAAGCCAGCCUGGUUGGUGGGCCUCCCUUCUGCUAUCAUGUCACCACUGCACGGACCAGGGCUGGACGGAACGAUGCUGAUGAGCAUCCCGAAUACAUAAUCGACGAGGACGGCCUGUGCAAAGGGAUGCAUCUUGCCAAGUCCCCUCAAAGUGGGUCAUCACUUUGCCACUCGGUCGGACCACUAAUUUUGCCUUAUAAUGAGCCAUAACAGUGAAAUGCAUCCAAAAGAAUAAAUAACCAGCUGCUGACUGAACAUUUAAAGUGACAUACAAUUAUUUUCUUCUGAGAAACUACUAGCAGUUCACAUAAUGGAUUUUCAAAGCCUUAUGUGGCCUAAGGUCACACUGAAUAGCUGACCAGUUCUGAACCUUCAUGCCUGGUGAACUUGCUGCUACUUUGUUUGAAAGUCAAAUGCAACAUGUCCUGAACAACCAACCUAAUUUAGUACCAAGUCUUCUAAGCUGAGACCUUGGAAGUGGACGCAGCCUGAAAUCCAAAUCCCAGAAGCGGAUGUGAAACAAUGACAGCAUUCAAUUUUUCUUAGUUUCAUUGAGAGACCUAAGAGUGGCACUGUGACUUGGGUAGCUAACCCAAACACAGGGUUGCCAAGCUGCUCAUCCAGCUGUGGUAAGAGCUGGUAUUCUAUUAACUGCAUCACUAACCCAUCCAUAUGGGUAACACCCUGGCCAGACUGGAAUUCAAUCCCAGAUACAUCAUCUCCAAAAAGGUGUCAGUGCAGAGGAUGGUUCAUUGUUGAAAAGCUGAUCCAAUGAUACUGAAUCACCACUCACUGGAGGCUGGCAUUACAAUAUUGAAAAUUGCAGAAAACAAGUGUUUUUUGUUGUUGUUUUUUUAAAGGGCUUCCAUACUGGAGAGAACUUUCAAACAGAUCAAAUCUAACUGUAAACCUUCCCCUUUUCAUUAUCUCUUUACUCAGCCAUGUGAGUAUGAUUCAAGAAGGCUUUAGCUCAGGUUUUCUCUCCUACAGGCUGCCUUUUGUUCUUCUUGUUUGACCCUGAAAGCAACAUCAUGCUGCUGAAUUUUUCACAUCACAAUCAUUUCCCAGAUGUGAAGAUUAUUAGUUCCGUGCAGGAUUUCAGGUGAGGUGGGCUGUGAAAAUGCUACAUUGCCAGAGGGUGGACAGAUACUAGAGCAGACAACCAACCAAUAGAGUCCCCUAUCUAAUCUGGAGGCCCAGUCGCAUGCACAAAUACAAGGUAAAAAAUUAUGCACAUGACAGGGAAUGCAGAAGACCCUAAUCCUGCAUUAAUAAGAGCACUGUGGUGUGUUUGCCAGGUUUCCCCUGCCUUGUAGUAAGAUCCUAAGAUGGGAGUGUAUAACUCAGUAUAUCACUUGCACUUAAGAGACUUGCAUUUAAGCCCAUAGCUCCUCCACACCCUGCAUGUUAUAUAUUCUGCAUUCUUGAGACUAAGGGAGUGGGCUUGGGAUUUAAUUCCAGUGAGUAUGAACGACUAUGCACAUCAGAUCACCCUACCUGUGCUCAUGCAUAGCCUCCACUUACACUUGUGCUGCAGCCCAACAACUCUGCACAACCUGUAAGGACUUGGAGGACCGAGGCCUCUGUGUUACCACAGCUAAGACUCAGACUUGGACUCUGGUGUGGGUCUGUAUGGAGCAGCUAUAUGAAAUAAUCCAGAAUAAUUCAUUUUACCCUUGCCUGUGCUGGUAGAAGCUGGAAUGAGAUAGUCUCCUCUGGAAGUCACCCCACACUGGCCUUGCAUUCUGCUGGGAGUCACAUAUCUCUAGCUGAACAGAAAGGAGCUGUGUUAAACGGGUCUUUAUUGGAGAUCACCUUCCUGGUUGAGCUAUUAGGUGCUGUGCUGAACUCUAUCAGCUUGCUGGUAAGAAUUCUAUAUAGCUUGUCUCAGCUGGGAGUCGCCCUCUGCAGAUCUUAUACAGUAAUGGAGAAACUCCUUAUUAAAAAGUAAUUAUUUUCAGUAAUACCAAAGGAAAAAUCUCUGGCCUGGUAAAAUUUCUAGAGUGGUUUUUCAACCCUGAGAUAGGGCUAAAAUCUAUAACUCUAAACUUGCAGAUUCAUCUGCUAUUGCCUUGUAAAAGUCCCAAGGAACAGUGAAGAACAGUAGCACCAAGCUUUCAUAUAGCCUUUUUUCAACAGUAGAUCACAAAGUGCUUUAUGAAGUAAGGUCAUUAUCAUUAUCCCCAUUUUACAAAUGGGGAAACUGAGGCUCAGGGAGGGAAACUGACUUGCCCAAGGUCAUAAGAAUGGCCACACUGGGUCAGAUCAAAGGUCCAUCUAACACAGUAUCCUGUCUUCCAACAAUGGCCAAUGCCAGGUGCCCCAGAGGGAAUGAACAGAUCAGGUAAUCAUCAAGUGAUCCAUCCCCUGUCGCUCAUUCCGAGCUUCUGGCAAACAGAGGCUAGGGACACAACCCCUGCCCAUCUUGCUGGACCUAUUCUCCAUUAAUGUAUCUAGUUAUUUUUUCAAACCUGCUACAGUGCUGGGCUUCACAACAUCCCGUGGUAAGAAGUUCCACAGGUUGACUGUGCAUUGUGUGGAGAAAUACUUCCUUCUGUUUGUUUUAAACUUGCUGCCAAUUAAUUUCAUUUCAAUUGAAAUUUGCUCACUCAGCAGGACAGUGGCAGAGGCAGGAACAGCAGCCAGGUUUUCUGAGUUCCAGUCCAGUGCUCUAUCCACUAUAUCCCACUGAUGAAACAAUACAGAGUGUGCCUCAGAAAGCACUGGAGGGAGUAAUGCAGUGCCAUGCAACAGGCUUGCCCCCCAACCUAGGACAGAUCAGUGGCACCUCAAUUUUGUUAACAUUUGCCAGAAUCUGUGGUCCAGAUUGAACAUGGCUCAAUGUGUAUGUUAAACCAUCUGAAGUGAACUCAGUAUUUCUUCUGAGGAUCCUGAAAUAAUACAUCAGAUUUAGAUUCAGCUCUACAAACAUAUGAAAAUGCUAAGGACAGAGAACACCAUGGUGUGAGAGGAAAAACAGAGCUGUUUAUUCAGUCUGAUUACAUCAGAGACACUAGGACUGUCAUGCGCAGCCCUGACAUCUGUUUUCUGCCACUGGAGCAGAGGAAACUACACAAAGAAAACCUGAUGCCCUUAAAUAUUUCUUUACUUAAUCCUUCAAAAGACAAUGUAGGUACCUUCCCUCUGUCCCUCCCCUUUCCCACCCCCUUGCACCUCUACUGUACAAAAGGAAAUCAUUAAGCAACUGUACAUGUAAUGGGGGGUGGGGAAUGGCAGACUGCCAACCUCAGGAAGAAUCAAACACAAAUCUCUCAUCCCCACUCUCAUGCAAAGCACUUUGUGUAUGCGUUUAGUCAUCAUCUCCUCCUGCAGUUUAGGGGAAAAUCUCGUAGGGAGGGCUUGCAUGGGUCUCUGGAAUUUGAUCAAUUGUGCAGGGUCUGACUGAGUGGGCAGGGCUUGUCGAGGUGUGCAGCGAUUGCUCAGAUGUACACGACUCACCCAGGUGUGCAGUGCUUGCAGGGAUGUGCUGGAGUAGACAGGGUUUGGCUGGGUGAGCUGCUCAUGAGCAAACUAUCCGAGGAAUGCUUUGGUUUGUCAACUAUCCCAUACCUGAGUUAUGACAGAUUGAUAGAUUCAGAGAACCUGUGACUGAAGCUGUCAUUUUUUUUUUUUUUUACAGGCUUGCCAAGCCUCAGCACCCACAUUAUAUUUUAUUAAUUAUUCAUUGUUAUGGUCUGCAUUUCUGGAUAAUUUUAGAAAAACAAAAUGGCAGCUGAAUGUCAAAUAUUAAUCACAGCAGCAGCAAAAUUUACCUUCAUGUCAACAGCUAUGUCAGAAAGAAUCCUCUGUUUUUCAGCUGUAGGUUAAAUAUUCCCUCUCUGGACAUCUGGAUGGCAAAACCCUUUAAUAGAAUCUCAAUUUGAGGAUCAGUUUAUUAAUUUAUUUACAUGUGUAUCAUUUUUAUGAUUAAAUGAAUUAACAAUAACUAUCAAAGCAAAUAUACUUUUAAAAUGUGAGUCAGGGAGAGGGUGAGUAAGAGGCCAAUAGCCACUCAAACACCAAAGAUUUAUAGCUUUUCUUAGCCAAAUUCUACAGUAAUGUUGUUGUAAUCAGCCCCUGAGAGCCGUGAAAUAACACCAAGACAAAAAGGGAGAGAGCCAAGGAAGGAAGCAGAGUCUUAUUUAACUUAUGAAAUGUUCUACAUGACUGUUACCUAUAUUUAGUGCUCUUUUUCAAUAAGAUGUAGCGAUUAUGGUGAGUAAUUAUUGUCAAACGGUAUUUUAUUAGCAGUUAAAAACAGUGCUCAGCACUGUGCAAGACACCAAAAUAAAGACAGCCCUUGUCCUGAAGAGAGACACAGACAACGGGGGGCCUGAUUCUCUGUAGCUCUGCUCCUUGUGUACCUGUUUCCUCUCGCACGAAGGGGAUGCAAAAACAUAAUCAAAUCAGAAUAGAGAUGCUUGAACUUGAUGCCGUGUCCAAGGGUAAGCCAAUGGAGGGAUCCAAAGAGUGGGAGUGGCAAGUUCAGUUCAACGGACCACGAAGAUAAUUUUAGCAGAUAUAUUUUGAAUGGAUGCAUGGCAGGCUAACGUUACCAGUUGAACAUCAGCCUUUGUAUUUCUAAUUCUCAGGAAUGUAUGGGCAUCUUCAGUCAGAAUACUGCCCAGUUGGAGCACCAGGUAGCCUAUGCAGCUUGGCAGAGAAGCUGGGCAAAGUUUAUGUUGAAUUUGGCAUCGCAGAGAUAAACUUUAAAACUAGGUUUCAGAGUAGCAGCUGUGUUAGUCUGUAUCCGCAAAAAGAACAGGAGUACUUGUGGCACCUUAGAGACUAACAAAUUUAUUUAUUUAAAACUAGUUAAACUUUACUUGCCUGCCUAAAGCUCUAAGCUGAAAUCAGUUAAUCAACUCAUAGAAACUAGAGAUGGAAGAGACCUAAUAGAUCAAGUCUCUUCCAUCCCUCAAGGUGGCCGAUGGAGGUGAAAAAAUAUACACUGAAUGUGCGUUUGGGUUCAGCCGAAGCCCAGUCUUCACUAGUGGCUUGGUCUCUCCUUACUGCUUAUCCAGAGAGGAACACUGGGCAGGGGAGAGAGGAUGUAUUUUGCAGUCACAAACACCAGUAAUGAGAGGCUUUCUUGGUGCAGCAGAGGAGAUUGGCAGAUAUUCGAUUCACGAUUCUUCUGGUUAAAAGCUUUGGAAAUUCUUCAGGCGUUGCUGUGAAACAAGAGUGUUCCCCUGGGAAUUAAGAGAGUGACUCUCUGUCCUGCCCUGGGAGCAGCUUUACCUCUUGAGGGCCCCUUUGCUACAAGGGAGUCAAAUGUUUAGUUUCAUCUCGUGAAGCUCUGGAAUUACCACACAUUUUACUUUUACACACUGAAGAGGAAAAACAAGGAGAAAUUUUAGAAAGCACUGUGGUUAAAUAGCCUUUACCACUAGCAACCUUCUGCCUCCAAGAAUUAGUCCUCUUCCUAGCAGGGACAAACCAGAAUUUGUCUACCCACUCUCUGGGAGUGGCAUUGAGUUGUUUGGAAUGGGGGGGGAGGGGGAGGGAAGAAGGGAAGGUAACUAAAACAAAGCAUAAUUGUAAAGAUUUUAAAGCCUGUUUUUCUUCCUUCAUGAACUAGACUGUUCCAUCAGUGCUGGUUGACAUAAGGAGUCUUUGGAAUAUUUACCAUCUACAGAACCUCUCUAGCUACUUAAGCAUUGCUAUUUUGCCUUUGAUGGUCUGUAUUACCUAAACUUUACUUGCUCUAAUACCCAAAACAAAUUUGCAGCACAGCAUGUCACCAGACGUGGAUCCUAAGUUCCAACAGCUUUAAAAUAGACCAGAACACUUUGCUUCCCAAACAAAGGUACUUUGUUAAAAUAGAAUUUCAUAUUCUCUCCCCUGUAUAUGUUGUAAAAUUACUGUACACCCAAGUGAACUGUUAAACUGCUGAACAGUAGAAGCUUAAGUGUGCCAUUAAUUUCUGGGUGACUUUUGGUUAUCUUUCAGAGAAUUAUGAAACCAACAGCUGUUGCAGUAAUGGUAUUCUUACACAUUUUCUUUUCUUGUGGAUAAAAAGCUAAAUGACUUCAACAGUGACAAGGGUCAAUUCUACACAUUGCACCAAAUUUUCAAAGGGGCCUCAAACCAACCUCCAAAUUUGAAUCCACAACAUGUACGUUGAAAAGCUUGACUGAGUGCACAAAUGGCACUGCUGCAUCCAGACAAUGCUUGCAAGUGCUGCUUGUGCAACCAGACUCAGGUUUUCAUAGACACAAAUAAUCCACAACAUUUUGGACAUUUUUCCUUUUAAGUUUUCCUUCUAUGUCAUGUCACACCUGAUAAGAACAUACGAAUGGCCAUACUGGGUCAGACCAGAGGUCCAUCCAGCCCAGUAUCCUGUCUGCUGACAGUGGCAAAUACCAGGUGCCCUAGAGGGAGUGAACCUAACAGGUAGCGAUCAAGUGAUCUCUCUCCUGCCAUCCAUCUCCAUCCUCUGACAAAAACAGUCUAGGGACACCAUUCCUUACCCAUCCUGGUUAAUAGCCAUUAAUGGACUUAACCUCCAUAAAUUCAUCUAGUUCUUUCUCUCUGAUGCUUUCGGGGUGAGCUUCCAGACCACGGAGAAGGCUUAAACAUUUAGUUCUACACAUCAUACAGACAUUGUUUUAUUUUCCAAUACAGUUAAUGGGAAAAACAUGCUGUCCUAGACUGGUCAUUUGGUUUUCCUGUAAAAUACAUGCUGGAGAAGCGGGUUGCUGAAUAAAAGUUAACAAUGGUAAAAUGGCACAGCUGGAUUCAAGGUAAACAAGGAGAGGUGCCACAAGAGAGAAGACUGAAAAGGGGAAAGCCUGAUCUAAGCAGAAGUACUUCCUGUAUGGUUCUUAACCCUAAAUCAAAUGUCCAAGAUUAGUAAACUGGAACGUGCCCAACAUGGGAGCUGGCUAAAAUGUGCAGCAGCUUGCUUUUUUCCAGUUAACUGGAGAAAGAGAGAAGGAGAUUAAGAAAAUAAUAGAUAUGCAUGGGAGGAGGGGAAAGGGAAAGAGAGACAAACCAAAACACAAAAGGGGUGCUUUAAACAUAGUUCCCAAUGUUAAUGCCCCACCUAAUUUUUGCACGAAUGAUUAUGUGAGCUACCAAACACUGGAGAUGGGUUGCUAACAUUUGCUUUUUUGUUUUGUAAAAAUGCUGGAUUUAGGUGUAUUUCGUUUGGCUGGGUAUUUGCUGUGGAUUCCAGCCGAAAAGGAUUUGUGAAGCAAACAGCCAAAUCAGAGGAACUAUUUUCUUGUAUUUUUAGGAA